GACGAACGCUGGCGGCGUGCUUAACACAUGCAAGUCGAACGGUGAAGGAAGAGCUUGCUCUUCCGGAUCAGUGGCGAACGGGUGAGUAACGCGUGGGAAUCUGCCUUUAGAUGGGGGAUAACGGGUCGAAAGACUCGCUAAUACCGCAUAUGACGAAAGUUGAAAGGAGUAAUCCGUCUAAAGGAUGAGCCCGCGUCCGAUUAGCUAGUUGGUAGAGUAAAAGCCUACCAAGGCGACGAUCGGUAGCUGGUCUGAGAGGAUGAUCAAGCCACAAUGGACUGAGACACGGCCCAUACUCCUACGGA
RNAcentral lists this ribosomal RNA (305 nucleotides) under uncultured bacterium. RNAcentral describes it as "bacterial SSU rRNA". It matches the Rfam family "Bacterial small subunit ribosomal RNA", at positions 28 to 345 of the family's 1533-position model. The record is from RNAcentral.